Molecule: non-coding RNA, 76 nt
Organism: Myotis brandtii (Brandt's bat)
Lineage: Eukaryota; Metazoa; Chordata; Mammalia; Chiroptera; Vespertilionidae
Source: Rfam
GAGACACCCUUAUGGAGGAAAACUUACUUCAGUGGGGCUUUGGUGCUCACUAAGUUUUCCCCUUGAGUGUAUCACU